CGGAAUGCAUGGGCGCAGCCUGACCGCCUGCCGCGUGUCUGAAGAAGGCCUUCGGGUUGUAAAGGACUUUUGUCCGGGAGCAAAUCCCAGUGGUUAAUACCUACUGGGGCUGAGAGUACCGGAAGAAUAAGCACCGGCUAACUACGUGCCAGCAGCCGCGGUAAUACGUAGGGUGCAAGCGUUAAUCGGAAUUACUGGGCGUAAAGCGUGCGCAGGCGGUUGUGCAAGUCUGAUGUGAAAGCCCCGGGCUUAACCUGGGAACGGCAUUGGAGACUGCACGACUAGAGUGCGUCAGAGGGGGGUAGAAUUCCGCGUGUAGCAGUGAAAUGCGUAGAGAUGCGGAGGAAUACCGAUGGCGAAGGCAGCCCCCUGGGAUGACACUGACGCUCAUGCACGAAAGCGUGGGGAGCAAACAGGAUUAGAUACCCUGGUAGUCCACGCCCUAAACGAUGUCAACUAGCUGUUGGGGGUUUGAAUCCUUGGUAGCGUAGCUAACGCGAGAAGUUGACCGCCUGGGGAGUACGGCCGCAAGGUUAAAACUCAAAGGAAUUGACGG
This 556-nucleotide ribosomal RNA is filed under the name uncultured Pseudogulbenkiania sp. RNAcentral's name for it is "bacterial SSU rRNA". It matches the Rfam family "Bacterial small subunit ribosomal RNA", at positions 357 to 916 of the family's 1533-position model. Lineage: Bacteria; Pseudomonadati; Pseudomonadota; Betaproteobacteria; Neisseriales; Chromobacteriaceae. The record is from RNAcentral.